GAUGAACGCUGGCGGCGUGCCUAAUACAUGCAAGUCGAGCGAACAGACGAGGAGCUUGCUCCUCUGACGUUAGCGGCGGACGGGUGAGUAACACGUGGAUAACCUACCUAUAAGACUGGGAUAACUUCGGGAAACCGGAGCUAAUACCGGAUAAUAUAUUGAACCGCAUGGUUCAAUAGUGAAAGACGGUUUUGCUGUCACUUAUAGAUGGAUCCGCGCCGCAUUAGCUAGUUGGUAAGGUAACGGCUUACCAAGGCAACGAUGCGUAGCCGACCUGAGAGGGUGAUCGGCCACACUGGAACUGAGACGCGGUCCAGACUCCUACGGGUGGCAGCAGUAGGGAAUCUUCCGCAAUGGGCGAAAGCUUGACGGAGCAACGCCGCGUGAGUGAUGAAGGUCUUCGGAUCGUAAAACUCUGUUAUUAGGGAAGAACAAAUGUGUAAGUAACUAUGCACGUCUUGACGGUACCUAAUCAGAAAGCCACGGCUAACUACGUG
This 497-nucleotide ribosomal RNA is filed under the name uncultured bacterium. Its description in RNAcentral is "partial 16S ribosomal RNA". It matches the Rfam family "Bacterial small subunit ribosomal RNA", at positions 28 to 507 of the family's 1533-position model. The record is from RNAcentral.